AAUGCGCCUUCAUCUCGCGCUCCCGCGCCCGUCUCGGGAUCGUCCGCGCCGCCGUGCGCGAGCCAGGGGGGGAGCGCGCGCGCCGAGAGCGCGCUCUUGAGUCCGGGCCGCGCGCGCUCGGCGGCGCGCAUGUGCCUGUGUGCGGGCUGCCCGGCUGCCCCGAGCCGGCGGGGAGCCGGACCGCUCCAGGUGGCUGACGGCCUGGACGAGGUGAGGCUACGGG
This 223-nucleotide non-coding RNA is filed under the name Erinaceus europaeus (western European hedgehog). The record is from RNAcentral. Lineage: Eukaryota; Metazoa; Chordata; Mammalia; Eulipotyphla; Erinaceidae.